CCAACUGCGCAGGCACGGAUUGGCAAGUGGGAGCGAAGUGCCGUUCGUGGGAAAAUUAAAGUUUUUAAAAGGAAAUACUUAGUAAAAUCGAAAGAAACUUGCUACUGCACACCCCAGUGGAAUGGUGAGUAAGGUUUUCCUAAAAAGAAAAAGGCAGCAUGUGCAAGAUUAAAGGGCCUGUCCCACUAACAUGA
Amblyraja radiata (thorny skate) is the source of this 194-nucleotide long non-coding RNA. RefSeq lists it as uncharacterized. The transcript has 2 exons. The record is from RefSeq and is a predicted model, not a curated record. NCBI's taxonomy places the organism in Eukaryota, Metazoa, Chordata, Chondrichthyes, Rajiformes, Rajidae.